UGGGGAAUAUUGCACAAUGGGCGAAAGCCUGAUGCAGCAACGCCGCGUGAGUGAUGAAGGCCUUCGGGUUGUAAAGCUCUGUCUUUUGGGACGAUAAUGACGGUACCAAAGGAGGAAGCCACGGCUAACUACGUGCCAGCAGCCGCGGUAAUACGUAGGUGGCAAGCGUUGUCCGGAUUUACUGGGCGUAAAGGAUGCGUAGGCGGAUUUUUAAGUGAGAUGUGAAAUACCCGGGCUUAACUUGGGUGCUGCAUUUCAAACUGGGAAUCUAGAGUGCGGGAGAGGAGAAUGGAAUUCCUAGUGUAGCGGUGAAAUGCGCAGAGAUUAGGAAGAACACCAGUGGCGAAGGCGAUUCUCUGGACCGUAACUGACGCUGAGGCAUGAAAGCGUGGGUAGCAAACAGGAUUAGAUACCCUGGUAGUCCACGCCGUAAACGAUGAGUACUAGGUGUAGGAGGUAUCGACCCCUUCUGUGCCGCAGUUAACACAAUAAGUACUCCGCCUGGGAAGUACGAUCGCAAGAUUAAAACUUAAAGGAAUUGACGGGGUCAUAGC
This 554-nucleotide ribosomal RNA is filed under the name uncultured bacterium. RNAcentral describes it as "partial 16S ribosomal RNA". It matches the Rfam family "Bacterial small subunit ribosomal RNA", at positions 355 to 925 of the family's 1533-position model. The record is from RNAcentral.